Periophthalmus magnuspinnatus is the source of this 1681-nucleotide long non-coding RNA. RefSeq lists it as uncharacterized. NCBI's taxonomy places the organism in Eukaryota, Metazoa, Chordata, Actinopteri, Gobiiformes, Gobiidae. The transcript is spliced from 3 exons. The record is from RefSeq and is a predicted model, not a curated record.
GUAAGAAGCAGGGGAGUGAGAGAGGGGAAGAGUGCAAAAGGAGAAGUAGGAGGAGAUACGAAACACUCACAGUACACAAAAGCCCUGGGAGUCUGCAGAUCGGCCCCGAGAGUCAAGUUACCCCUAAAGCUUCAAGCUUCGCAUCUGUAAAAGUGGAUAAGAAAGAAGAACAGUGCUGAGUGGAUUGUAUAUACCAACUUGAGUUCCACAUGAGAGAAAGAGAGAAAGGGGGAGGGUGAAGACUGUGGAAGGAGCAGAGGUCUGGAGAACAUCAGCUUUGGGUCAGCUUUUGAAGAGCUUCUGCAGCACUCAAAGAGGUCUUUUCUUCACCUACAAACUCCAUCUUGUUCCUAAACACCAGCAUGGACGUCCAGCAGGAGAUGCUUGACAUCUUCCAGAGAAUCUGGGCCAAACUGCAAGGGCUUCCACGGGCUGGGGCUCUGGAGAUCGGGGCUUUCACUGUGCUUUUGCUGUUCUUGGCUACGUUUAUCCUGAUGGUGGUGAUCUCCUGCACCAGCUGCUGCAGCGCCAAAGCAAAGAGGCCAUCCACCAGAGUGCACCCUGUCUGACCCCAACUCCACAGAAUGGUUCACGUGUAAAUACAAUAUUCAGAUGUCCAAGCGUCCAAGCUUUAUUUCAAACAACAUAGCACAUCACAAUUUUAUACAAUUUUCAACUUUUAUAUCGUUUCACAAGAGUUCUUAAACCAAAUUGUGAUAGCUAUAGUAGGAAUAUGAACGUUUUUAUUUCUACUCUGAGCCAUAGCAGUGGCAUCUGUAGUGUUUGACCCCUGGAGACAAAGAGCCAGUGUGGUUAUCUAACAAAAGAACACAGACGACAUCAGACCAGUUUUUCAUUCACCAGCACAAAUGCACAACGCAUUUAGGGGUGGAAGAUAUAUUGGAAAAGUGAUAGUAUCGAAGUUGUUGUUCUGGAGAUAUGCUAAAUAAGAAUGUUUAGUAUAUAUUGAAAUGUCUACAGUGUGAUCUCCCAAACAAGGGUAUAAAGUGUUAUUUCUGUACUUUUGUGGUUACUUUACUGGUCCACUUUAGAGAUUGACCGAUAUGGGUGUUUUCAUGGCCAAAACUGAUACGGAUCGUUUGGAAUCCAGAGAAAUGGCCAAUAGAUUCACUCUGAUUUUUAUUAUUUUCCUCACAAACCUUUAAGAGAGCUGUGCAGUCUCGUGUUGUGCUGUUAUCUCUCUCAUUAAAGUGUGUGUACUCUUUAGCCAGCAGGUCGACCAGAACAAAAUAUUGGUCUGAUAUUGGUCUAUCUCUAGUUCACUUCAUUCAUGUUUUGUGCGUGCGAGAUUUGAACCUCAGUUUGAACAUUGAAACAGUCGUGGUUUAACAUUCCUUUUUUAAAUAUUGUCUAAAUACUGAUAUAUCGCCCAGCCCUAAAUACAUUCCAUCUUCUACUUACAAUGGUACUGUUUUCUGUUUACUCAACUCAUAUUGUAGUUGCUUUGCUUGUGUAAAGAGCAACAGCGCCUCCUGUUGUCCUGAUUUGGACAUUGUCUUGCCAAAAGUGCCAAUGUUUGGUUCAAAUUGUUUCUGUUUUAUAUGAAUUAGUUUAAACUAGUUUUUUAUGAUGGUUGAUAUUUUCUGUAGCAGAAAACAUUUUGAUACUGGUACAACAUGUGAUUGUUGGAUUUAAGUUUGUAAUUAAACUGAAUGAAAUG